CUUGAGCGAGCCCAGCCGUAGCGGCGCCGACCGAUCCCGGCCGUAGGUCGCGAGCAGUGCUUGGGCCUC
The sequence is an antisense RNA, 69 nucleotides long. It matches the Rfam family "ASpks TB sRNA".